GAUGAACGCUAGCGGGAGCUUAACACAUGCAAGUCGAGGGGUAAAUGGUAGCAAUACUAUGAGACCGGCGGACGGGUGCGUAACGCGUAUGCAAUAUACCUUGUGCAGGGGGAUAGCCCGUGGAAACGCGGAUUAAUAUUCCAUAGUCCAGCUAUAUCGCAUGGUAUAGUUGGUAAAGAUUUAUCGGCACAAGUUUGGCAUGCGUCUGAUUAGCUUGUUGGUAGGGUAACGGCCUACCAAGGCUACGAUCAGUAGGGGUUCUGAGAGGAUUAACCCCCACACUGGUACUGAGACACGGACCAGACUCCUACGGGAGGCAGCAGUGAGGAAUAUUGGUCAAUGGGCGGAAGCCUGAACCAGCCAUCCCGCGUGAAGGAAGACAGCCUUACGGGUUGUAAACUUCUUUUCUGUCAGAAGAAUAAGCUUGUCGAGACGAGUGAUGCCGGUAUGACAGGAAUAAGCAUCGGCUAACUCCGUG
Molecule: ribosomal RNA, 478 nt
Filed under: uncultured bacterium
Lineage: Bacteria
Description: bacterial SSU rRNA
Rfam family: Bacterial small subunit ribosomal RNA
Source: RNAcentral